Molecule: ribosomal RNA, 222 nt
Filed under: uncultured soil bacterium
Lineage: Bacteria
Description: partial 16S ribosomal RNA
Rfam family: Bacterial small subunit ribosomal RNA
Source: RNAcentral
AGAUUGAACGCUGGCGGCAGGCCUAACACAUGCAAGUCGAGCGGUAGAGAGGUGCUUGCAUCUCUUGAGAGCGGCGGACGGGUGAGUAAUGCCUAGGAAUCUGCCUAGUGGUGGGGGAUAACGUUCGGAAACGGACGCUAAUACCGCAUACGUCCUACGGGAGAAAGCGGGGGACCCUCGGGCCUCGCGCCAUUAGAUGAGCCUAGGUCGGAUUAGCUAGUU